This 1461-nucleotide small RNA is filed under the name Pongo abelii (Sumatran orangutan). Its description in RNAcentral is "processed transcript". The record is from RNAcentral. Lineage: Eukaryota; Metazoa; Chordata; Mammalia; Primates; Hominidae.
UAGUAGCCCUGGCUACCAGUCAUCCUACCAAGUAGGGAUCAACCAACGGUUCCAUGCAGCUCGACACAAAUUUCAGUCCCAAGCAGAUCAGGACCAACAAGCCAGUGGCCUACAGAGCCCUCCAUCCAGGGAUUUAUCCCCCACCCUCAUAGACAACUCUGCCGCCAAGCAGCUGGCCCGAAACACAGUCACUCAGGUGCUCUCCAGAUUCACUAGCCAACAAGGGCCAAUCAAGCCAGUCUCUCCCAACAGCUCUCCCUUUGGCACAGACUAUCGAAAUCUGGCCAACACUGCCAAUCCAAGAGGUGACACAAGCCAUUCACCUACUCCAGGGAAAGUGUCCAGUCCCCUGAGCCCCCUGUCUCCAGGAAUCAAGUCCCCAACCAUCCCCAGAGCUGAGAGAGGAAACCCUCCACCCAUCCCACCCAAAAAACCUGGUCUCACCCCUUCUCCAUCUGCUACCACUCCAUUGACCAAAACUCAUUCCCAGGCAGCCUCUUUGACCACCGCAGAAGACCUUGCCAGCAGCUGCUCUUCCAAUACUGUUGUAGCAAAUGGAUAAGGUCAGAGACGGAGGCACAAAACGUCCCCAAGAGGUGAGUUCUGUUUCAGGGAGACUGACAGACACCAGUGAGUGCUUUCUGCAAGGGUUGGGGCUGACCUGAGAAGGAGCUCCCAGGCCACAGCAUUCUGCAAUACAUCGUCCAAUAAUUUGUAGGGAAGAUCUAGGAACAUGCAAAAGGCAGUUUGAAAAAGGACCUGGUUGCCAAAAUACCUUAUUACCCAUCAAUGUCCUCUCCUACCCAUUUCCCUUUUUCACACCCUCUAAAUCUCUAUAAGCAAAUGAGGGAAAUGCAAACUAAGCUUUGAACAGAAUCAAAUGAGUCCCUCUGGGACACUUGCAGGGGACUUAUUUCUUCCGAAGGAUGUGACAGCAGCUUCUCCCAAUAGUGCAGUGUUUGUUUCACUGUUAGACUGGAGGAGCACAAGGAGCAUGCAACAUGUGGCUCUGUCCACACCACUGUGAAAUUGUUGGUUCUGAGAAAUCACUGGGGGAAGUGUUAAAACAAGAUUGGCCUUAUCUCUGGGGAGUCACCUGUUUAACCUGACAAGAAUCCUGCUCAUUAACUCAAUGUGUUAGACACUAGGAUGUGCCACAUGGGUUCCCUUUCAGGAGUGAAAUUUAAUUCCCUAGGUGCAGGGGAUGCUGACAGUAAGUGGCCCUCAGAUACAACCCCUUAUAGGAAUUACCUUCACUGAAAGAAAAUCAGCUUGACCAAAGUCACAGCUCCUUCCAUGGACAGCUCAUAUAUUAAUACAAAGACUGGGCAUGGUGGCUCACACCUGUAAUCCCAGCACUUUGGGAGACUGAGGCAGGUGGAUCACUUGAGGUCAGGAGUUCGAGACCAGCCUGGUCAACAUGGUGAAACCCCAUCUCUACUAAAAAUACAAAAAAAAAUA